Molecule: non-coding RNA, 3358 nt
Organism: Poecilia reticulata (guppy)
Lineage: Eukaryota; Metazoa; Chordata; Actinopteri; Cyprinodontiformes; Poeciliidae
Source: RefSeq, a predicted model, not a curated record
UUGGCUAUAGAUGAAUCUUGGAAAUGUAAAAACCAGAGUAAAAGUUAUUAAGCUAAUAUUAAUACAUUAUUGUACUUUGUUAUUAAUACUCUAUCAGUCCUGUGGCUGAGUAAUGAUCUGUCCUCACCUGUCCGUCUUCUGUCCUCUCAGGUGAGACACAAAGUUCGGCCCCACUUCCUGCAUUCUGCGGCCCACAAACUGUUCUAUGAUGUCAUCACGUGGGCAGCCACUCAGAUCGCCAUCUGCUACACGGUGGUGCCUUUUGUCCUGCUGUCUGUGGGCCCGUCCAUAAAGUUUUACAGAUCGUGGUACUUCAGCCUCCACAUCAUGUGCAUCCUCCUGGCUGUAGCGCUGCCGGUCAAACCCAGACAUCUGCGCCUCAAAGAGCAGCAGAAAAGCUGCUCCCAGGAUGCAGGCCUGAAGCCCCUGGAGGCUGCAGAGACCCACAGUCACAAAGAGAAGGCCUCCUGAGGCCGGGGCCGGAAGCAUCUUGUAAAUUUCCAUGGACUUGUGUGGGAGGAUGUGAAGCCGGAUGGACCGAGUGAUGCUCCUGCUGGACUAGGUACAGAAAAAAGGCCAAACCUGAUUAAUUUGGAUUCAGUGGGGGAUAAAAGUGAAAGCAGGCUCUGGGUUUCUUUGUUUUUCUUAUAGGAAUCUUGACUGCCAGAAAUGACAGCGAACAGACUCAGAAAAACCUGCCAUGUUUAAGAAUAUAAAUACCUAAUGUGAGUUUACAUGGGAGAGCUGCGUGUGAUCAGUGCAAACUGCCUGAACUACCAUGAUUUUAAACCAACUCCCUUUUCCUACUUGUCAGAAACUUGUGGAUUAAGGAGGAAAUAUAUGAUGAUAUGUAAAGAAACAGAGGUGAAAGGGUGGAAUACACAAUUUUAUGACAACAGGGGUUGUGUGAAUAGAAGUCAGACUGAUUAAAGGAAAGUUUUAAAUAUUUUACAGAAGUUAGUUUUGGAAAAAGUGCCAAUGUUUGUUCACUCAGUCACCUUAUUUGUUCUAAAAAAAAAAAGAAAAAAGAAAAGUCUUGAUGUGUUUACAUGUGUAACUUUGGUUUAAAGUUCUUACUGGUGUUUCAUUCCAAAAAAACAAAGAUGUGGUUUGAUAAGCAAAAGAUAAAAACCUUCAGAAAUGAGCAGAAAAGGAUUUUCCUUUCAAGUUUGAUUAUUUUUUACAUAUUUUCCUUUCCAGUUGGGUUUGGCCUGGUAGCUCAGGAUGGUAAUAUUUUAUUUCUUUACAGCUUGUCGCAUCAUUCAGACUCCGUCUCAUUACGUCAUUUAGCUCAGACACUGGGGAGAAAAAGCUGCUUGGUCUUGCAGCUAAUUAUUCUGUCCUCACCUGUCCGUCUUCUGUCCUCUCAGGUGAGACACAAAGUUCAACCCCACUUCCUGCAUCGUGCAGGAAGUGUCUGUAAAAGACAUAUUGUGAGUGGCAUUUUGAAAGAUUUUACAGCGACCCUUUUGAACAGCACAUAUAUUUCUGGAGAAACAAAAUAGAUACAGUUCGAUUGUUAUGACAAAAACUAAAUAAUUAAGUGGUUUGUCAUGUUUUAAGAGGUAAAUUAAUGUAGAUGUAAGUGCAUUUUGUGUUUCUUAGGGGUUAAGCUUAUUCUGAUUUAUAGAUAUUUUUGACAGUAAUUCUAAAUGAGUGUUUCAUUGUGUGCAAAACAAUUUAAUUUGUAAUUUUGCUGAAAUAAAUUUCAACAAUUUUAUUUCAAACUAAUAUGUUAGUUGUAACAUAUUAGAACUAUGUUUGCACACAUAGUUCUAAUGAUUAUCAUGGAGACUGUGCCACUCACAAUAUGGAGGACGUAUCGUCUGGUAAGGGAAGCCAACAUGGCGGUUACCCUUCUAUGUCUGUUGGUCAAGAAAUACUGAAGAAAAGUUUAGAAAUGUUGAUUUUGUUUUGUUUUCAUCGCAACCUGACUGAAUUAGAAUAACAUUAGAAAAGUUUUUGUUGACAACAAUACAAUCAGAUUUUUGUAUAAAACAAGGAUUUUGCACUGUGGUGAGAUUUUAGGUUUUUUGGCACCAACGUAUGAUAGAAUAUGGCCUUUAAAUAAAAAACGGAAAAUAUUUUGUUCCAGUAUUGGUUCAGUUUUAAAUCUGAAUUGCAGAAAAUAUAUCAUUUUUGACAGAACUUUUAAAUCCAAGUGCAAAGAUGCUACAGCUAGGUGGGUUUUGCUAACUGCAUACAUUUCCACCUGCAAAACAGAAGAUAUGAGAAAUGAAAUAGUAUUUGACCAUACAGUAAGUUUGAUGAGACAAAAGUGACAUAAAACAGUAUUAUAGCAGUUGAUUUACAAUAAUCUCACACUAGAAGUAGCUAUAAAAAGUUUGUAGCUUUAAAUAAAUUAGGUUUUCCGUCAAGGCUACUGCAAUGUUUCACUUCCUGAAUGCCCAUUUUCUACAUUUGUUUAAGUUUAGUGUUGGCUGUGAGUUAUGCUGUAGCCAUGAUUUUUAUGGGUUUCUCUCUGUUCCAUCAAUGUUUUCUUUGGGAGAUAAAACAACACAGCUUAAGGAAAGUUUACCUAGCCUUCAUUGUUUUGUUCAAUUAAAAGAAAAUCAGUAUUGAACUGUUUGUUAAUGUUAGCUAGUGGUUUAAUUUAGCUAUAAUUGCUCAUAUUUUGAGUUAUUUACCAAACUGAUCCAUGUGUAAAUUUAAUCACCAAUAUUUUUGUUGUUUAAUUUAUUUUAACACUGAGUGUAGCUGAAAAAUUGUGCUGGAAGAGCUACUUUGUGUUUACUUUUGAGCUUCAAGCUUGCUAAUUGUUAGCUAACCGUACAUCAAGGAAGCUAGCUAAAACUGUGUUCCAAAUAAAAACCAACCAAUAUUUGUCCUGUACAUCCUCACCUUAAAAUUUGAUAAAAAAUAAACUGUAAUAAACUCAUCUCUCAUUAAAUGUUCUUGAGUUGAGUUGGUUAUAGCUGUUAGUUUGGCUUUCAAGGACAAAAAUUAGCUGGUUUUCUAACUUCAAACUUUCAAGACAACUGAAGCAUAGCAGGAAGACAUUUAUGUAAAGUUGCUGUAAAUGUUCUCUUCCGUCAAACUUCUGGUUUUAGUUUAUCUAAACAAUUUAAUCUCAUUUUCCGUCCAAACUACUCUGAGUAUUAAACAGUCAGCAGUUCUGCCGAUCAGUAAAAAUCAGUGUUUUCUUUGCCUCUUUUCUUCUAAGACACAGAAAAAUCAGAAUCUUUCUCUGUAUCUUUCUGUUUUUGUAUUUGUUCUACAAUUGUAUUCCUAGUUUUAGGUUUCUGCCAUGACACCUGGUUGAAAAGAUGUGACUGCUAAUGAACAUGUUAAUGUAAAACAGUGAUUAAAAACCAGCCACCUAUCUUUGUAGUUUUGA